Molecule: ribosomal RNA, 1243 nt
Filed under: metagenome
Description: bacterial LSU rRNA
Rfam family: Bacterial large subunit ribosomal RNA
Source: RNAcentral
UGAAUACGAGACGCUAAGGCGUCGAAGUAGUGUAUGUCAUACUUCCAAGAAAAGCUUGCACUGUCAUAGAUAAAAAACGCCUGUACCAUAACCGACACAGGUGGGUAGGUAGAGUAUACUAAGGGGCGCGAGAUAACUCUCUCUAAGGAACUCGGCAAAAUAACUCCGUAACUUCGGGAGAAGGAGUGCCUUAUUCGUAAGGUUGCAAUAACAAGAUCCAAGCAACUGUUUAUCAAAAACACAGGCCUCCGCUAAGUCGUAAGACGAUGUAUGGGGGCUGACGCCUGCCCAGUGCCAGAAGGUUAAAGAAGUUGGUUAGCAAUUGCGAAGCUGAUAACUGAAGCCCUGGUGAACGGCGGCCGUAACGAUAACGGUCCUAAGGUAGCGAAAUUCCUUGUCGGGUAAGUUCCGACCCGCACGAAAGGCGUAAUGAUUUGGAUACUGUCUCGGAGAGGGGCUCGGUGAAAUAGACUUGUCUGUGAAGAUGCGGACUACCUGCACCAGGACAGAAAGACCCUAUGAAGCUUUACUGUAACUUGAAAUUGAAAUUGGACUUUAUUCGCGCAGUAUAGGUGGGAGGCGUUGAUUAUAAUCUUGUGGGAUUAUUGGAGCCAUCAGUGAGAUACCACUCUUGUAAUGUUAGAUUUCUAACUUUGAAUCAUUAUCUGGUCAAAGAACAGUUUCAGGCGGGCAGUUUGACUGGGGCGGUCGCCUCCUAAACGGUAACGGAGGCGUACAAAGGUUUCCUCUGAACGGUUAGAAAUCGUAUCUAGAGUGUAAGGGCAUAAGGAAGCUUGACAGUGAGACCUACAAGUCGAGCAGGGACGAAAGUCGGUCUUAGUGAUCUGACGGUACUGAGUGGAAAGGCCGUCACUCAACGGGUAAAAGUUACUCUAAGGAUAACAGGCUGAUCUCCCCCAAGAGUUCACAUCGACGGGGAGGUUUGGCACCUCGAUGUCGGCUCAUCGCAUCCUGGGGCGGUAGUACGUCCCAAGGGUUGGGCUGUUCGCCCAUGAAAGCGGUACGCGAGCUGGGUUCAGAACGUCGUGAGACAGUUCGGUCCAUAUCCGGUGUAGGCGUUAGAAUAUUGAGAGGAGCCUUCUUUAGUACGAGAGGACCGAGAAGGACAUACCUCUGGUGUACCAGUUAUCGUGCCAACGGUAAACGCUGGGUAGCUAUGUAUGGAGUGGAUAACCGCUGAAAGCAUCUAAGUGGGAAGCCCACCUCAAGAUAAGUAUUCUCA